GUCCAGACUCCUACGGGAGGCAGCAGUGGGGAAUCUUGCGCAAUGGGCGGAAGCCUGACGCAGCGACGCCGCGUGCGGGACGAAGGCCUUCGGGUCGUAAACCGCUUUCAGCAGGGACGAGGCCCUCACGGUGACGGUACCUGCAGAAGAAGCCCCGACUAACUCCGUGCCAGCAGCCGCGGUAAUACGGAGGGUGCAAGCGUUGUCCGGAAUCAUUGGGCGUAAAGAGUUCGUAGGCGGCAUGUAAAGUCAGGUGUUAAAGGCGCAGGCUCAACCUGUGUAUGGCACUUGAUACUUGCAAGCUGGAAUGCGGUAGAGGUAAAGGGAAUUCCUGGUGUAGCGGUGAAAUGCUUAGAUAUCAGGAGGAACAUCGGUGGCGUAAGCGCUUUACUGGGCCGUAAUUGACGCUGAGGAACGAAAGCCAGGGUAGCAAAUGGGAUUAGAUACCCCCGUAA
RNAcentral lists this ribosomal RNA (455 nucleotides) under uncultured bacterium. Its description in RNAcentral is "partial 16S ribosomal RNA". It matches the Rfam family "Bacterial small subunit ribosomal RNA", at positions 329 to 793 of the family's 1533-position model. The record is from RNAcentral.